This 254-nucleotide ribosomal RNA is filed under the name uncultured bacterium. RNAcentral describes it as "partial 16S ribosomal RNA". It matches the Rfam family "Bacterial small subunit ribosomal RNA", at positions 524 to 777 of the family's 1533-position model. The record is from RNAcentral.
UACGGAGGGUGCAAACGUUGCUCGGAAUCAUUGGGCGUAAAGCGCACGUAGGCGGUCCAGCAAGUCGGGUGUGAAAGCCCUCGGCUUAACCGAGGAAGUGCAUUCGAAACUACUGGACUUGAGUACUGAAGAGGAUCGCGGAAUUCCCGGUGUAGAGGUGAAAUUCGUAGAUAUCGGGAGGAACACCAGUGGCGAAGGCGGCGAUCUGGGCAGAUACUGACGCUGAGGUGCGAAAGCUGGGGGAGCGAACGGGG